RNAcentral lists this ribosomal RNA (459 nucleotides) under uncultured bacterium. Its description in RNAcentral is "partial 16S ribosomal RNA". It matches the Rfam family "Bacterial small subunit ribosomal RNA", at positions 339 to 795 of the family's 1533-position model. The record is from RNAcentral.
CUACGGGUUGCUCCAGUAAGGAAUAUUGCGCAAUGGAGGCAACUCUGACGCAGCCAUGCCGCGUGCAGGAAGAAGGCCUUAUGGGUCGUAAACUGCUUUUAUUUAGGAAUAAACCCCCGAACGUGUUCGGGGCUGAAGGUACUAAACGAAUAAGCACCGGCUAACUCCGUGCCAGCAGCCGCGGUAAUACGGAGGGUGCAAGCGUUAUCCGGAUUUAUUGGGUUUAAAGGGUGCGCAGGCGGGCUAUUAAGUCAGUGGUGAAAUCCCGGGGCUCAACCCCGGAACUGCCAUUGAUACUGAUAGUCUUGAGUUUGGUUGAAGUGGGCGGAAUGUAGCAUGUAGCGGUGAAAUGCAUAGAUAUGCUACAGAACACCAAUCGCGAAGGCAGCUCACUAAGCCAAAACUGACGCUCAUGCACGAAAGCGUGGGGAUCAAACAGGAUUAGAUACCCGCGUAGUC